UUGCUGGGUACUCGAGUGGCGAACGGGUGAGUAACACGUGGGUGAUCUGCCCUGAACUUUGGGAUAAGCCUGGGAAACUGGGUCUAAUACCGGAUAUGACCUUGGAUUGCAUGCUCUGGGGUGGAAAGCUUUUGCGGUUCAGGAUGGGCCCGCGGCCUAUCACCUUGUUGGUGGGGUAAUGGCCUACCAAGGCGACCACGGGUAGCCGACCUGAGAGGGUGAUCGGCCACACUGGGACUGAGACACGGCCCAGACUCCUACGGGAGGCAGCAGUGGGGAAUAUUGCACAAUGGGCGCAAGCCUGAUGCAGCGACGCCGCGUGAGGGAUGACGGCCUUCGGGUUGUAAACCUCUUUCACCAGGGACGAAGCGUGAGUGACGGUACCUGGAGAAGAAGCACCGGCCAACUACGUGCCAGCAGCCGCGGUAAUACGUAGGGUGCGAGCGUUGUCCGGAAUUACUGGGCGUAAAGAGCUCGUAGGCGGUUUGUCGCGUCGUCUGUGAAAUUCUGCAACUCAAUUGUAGGCGUGCAGGCGAUACGGGCAGACUUGAGUACUACAGGGGAGACUGGAAUUCCUGGUGUAGCGGUGAAAUGCGCAGAUAUCAGGAGGAACACCGGUGGCGAAGGCGGGUCUCUGGGUAGUAACUGACGCUGAGGAGCGAAAGCGUGGGUAGCGAACAGGAUUAGAUACCCUGGUAGUCCACGCCGUAAACGGUGGGUACUAGGUGUGGGGCUCAUUUCACGAGUUCCGUGCCGUAGCUAACGCAUUAAGUACCCCGCCUGGGGAGUACGGCCGCAAGGCUAAAACUCAAAGGAAUUUGACGGGGGCCCGCACAAGCGGCGGAGCAUGUGGAUUAAUUCGAUGCAACGCGGAAGAACCUUACCUGGGUUUGACAUACACCAGACGGCAUUGUAGAGAUACAUGUUCCCUUGUGGUUGGGUGUACAGGUGGUGGCAUGGCUGUCGUCAGCUUCGUGUCGUGAGAAUGUUGGGUUAAGUCCCGCCACGAGCGCAACCUUGUCUUGUAUGGGCCAGCGGGUAUGCCGGGGGACUUGCAGAGAGACUGCCGGGGUCAACUCUCGAGGGAAGGGUGGGGAUAGACGUCCAGGUCAUCAUGCCCCUUUAUGUCAGGGCUUCCACAUGGCUACAAGGUCGGGGUACGAAGGGCUUGCGGAUAUC
This 1179-nucleotide ribosomal RNA is filed under the name bacterium EFRS69. Its description in RNAcentral is "bacterial SSU rRNA". It matches the Rfam family "Bacterial small subunit ribosomal RNA", at positions 80 to 1257 of the family's 1533-position model. The record is from RNAcentral.